AAAAAGAUAAACCCUAGGUUUUCGUGCCAACGUUUGACUGUCCGUCUUAUAUGAUAAAACAUGAUUAAUAUUUUAUGCGUGACUUAUUUUUUUAAUUUUUUUCAUAAUUUUUCAAAUAAGACGGACGGUCAAACGUUGGACACGGAAUAGGGUUUGUCUUUUU
Oryza sativa Japonica Group (Japanese rice) is the source of this 163-nucleotide microRNA precursor. It matches the Rfam family "MIR812 microRNA precursor family". NCBI's taxonomy places the organism in Eukaryota, Viridiplantae, Streptophyta, Magnoliopsida, Poales, Poaceae. The record is from Rfam.